ACGCUGGCGGCGUGCUUAGCACAUGCAAGUCGAGCGGUAAGGCCCUUUCGGGGGUACACGAGCGGCGAACGGGUGAGUAACACGUGGGUGACCUGCCCUCAGCUCUGGGAUAAGCCUGGGAAACCGGGUCUAAUACCGGAUAUGACUCCAUGACGCAUGUUGUGGGGUGGAAAGCCUUGUGCGGCUGAGGAUGGGCCCGCGGCCUAUCAGCUUGUUGGUGGGGUGAUGGCCUACCAAGGCGACGACGGGUAGCCGGCCUGAGAGGGCGACCGGCCACACUGGGACUGAGACACGGCCCAGACUCCUACGGGAGGCAGCAGUGGGGAAUCUUGCGCAAUGGGCGAAAGCCUGACGCAGCGACGCCGCGUGAGGGAUGACGGCCU
RNAcentral lists this ribosomal RNA (383 nucleotides) under uncultured bacterium. Its description in RNAcentral is "bacterial SSU rRNA". It matches the Rfam family "Bacterial small subunit ribosomal RNA", at positions 33 to 417 of the family's 1533-position model. The record is from RNAcentral.